RNAcentral lists this ribosomal RNA (31 nucleotides) under Sarmentypnum exannulatum. RNAcentral describes it as "partial 18S ribosomal RNA". Lineage: Eukaryota; Viridiplantae; Streptophyta; Bryopsida; Hypnales; Amblystegiaceae. The record is from RNAcentral.
GGCGGUAGGUGACCCUGCGGAAGGAUCAUUG